Molecule: ribosomal RNA, 451 nt
Filed under: Salmonella enterica subsp. enterica serovar Newport
Lineage: Bacteria; Pseudomonadati; Pseudomonadota; Gammaproteobacteria; Enterobacterales; Enterobacteriaceae
Description: partial 23S ribosomal RNA
Rfam family: Bacterial large subunit ribosomal RNA
Source: RNAcentral
AUAAGCGCCGGUAAGGUGAUAUGAACCGUUAUAACCGGCGAUUUCCGAAUGGGGAAACCCAGUGUGAUUCGUCACACUAUCAUUAACUGAAUCCAUAGGUUAAUGAGGCGAACCGGGGGAACUGAAACAUCUAAGUACCCCGAGGAAAAGAAAUCAACCGAGAUUCCCCCAGUAGCGGCGAGCGAACGGGGAGGAGCCCAGAGCCUGAAUCAGCAUGUGUGUUAGUGGAAGCGUCUGGAAAGGCGCGCGAUACAGGGUGACAGCCCCGUACACAAAAGCGCAUGUGCUGUGAGCUCGAUGAGUAGGGCGGGACACGUGGUAUCCUGUCUGAAUAUGGGGGGACCAUCCUCCAAGGCUAAAUACUCCUGACUGACCGAUAGUGAACCAGUACCGUGAGGGAAAGGCGAAAAGAACCCCGGCGAGGGGAGUGAAAAAGAACCUGAAACCGUGU